This 1119-nucleotide long non-coding RNA is filed under the name Dromaius novaehollandiae (emu). RNAcentral's name for it is "lncRNA (ENSDNVG00000010964.1)". Lineage: Eukaryota; Metazoa; Chordata; Aves; Casuariiformes; Dromaiidae. The record is from RNAcentral.
ACGCGCCGGCGGGCGUCUCGCUGGGCGCCGUGGCGCUGCCGUUGCGGCGGCAGCACUGGCUCGCCGUGCGCCAGCUCCGCGGCACCUACUACAACCUCGACUCCAAGCUCCCGGCGCCCGCCCGCAUCGGCGGCGAGGCCGAGCUCAGGGUUUUCCUCCGCGACUUCCUCUCCCGAGGCCUCUGCGAGCUCUUCAUCGUCGUGCCGAAGGCGGUGGAAGAAGCCGGCACCUGGCUGGAGCCCGAGUGACUCGGGAUUUCACCUGCGAAACCAAAGACAGGCGGAAAAGACAGCGCGACCCCCCAAACYGGGGGGAUCGGCACCGAAAUGGGAUGCCCCCCCACCCCGCACACCCUUCAAUUCGACGCUUCUCCCGAUGGGGAUAAAGGACACGGUGCAAAAGCRGCCGUGUUUUGUGCUUGUUGGCGCCGCGGAGGGACCCGGCUGGCCCGGGAGCUGUUGUCACCCGUCUCCCCACGCCUGUGUCACCCGUCGGCAGCUCCUAAUCUGCCUGUUUUUGCCUUUUUUGAGGGGCUUGGUUUUCCGGUGUGGGAUUUCCCUGCCUAAAUUUGGAGCUGGCCGCGGGGUGCCGAUGGUGUCGGGGUGUUUUUGAUACGUUACAACGGGCUGCUGGUUGUGYGUGCCGGUUGUGCGUGCCAGUUACGCCCUCCAUGCCGCCUGUGUGCCCUCCAUGCCGCCUGUGCGCCCCAGCUACGCAUGGUACCCGCUUCUCACACACGGCGCAACACCCGCUACACCCACCGCUCGCUCACCUUUCCCCUCGUCACCUCUCCGGCCACUUGGCCCGUUGUUUCCAGCCAUCUCCGGUGCCUCCACGGAGGAAGCAGGUGUAUUUUAAAAGCCAAAAUAUCGGGGAUUUAUAUCGCUAACAACCAUUAUGGGAAACACCAUUAAGGCAGGUUUCCUCAAUGCUGCGACUGUUGGCAGCUCCAGCGACUGUUGGCAGCUCCGUUGGGUGGUAGGUGGCUCCGAAAACAGCCAUUGGGUGACGAUYGCGGCCGGGUAACGGGCCAAAGCACUGUGCUGGGUGAUUUUUCCAAGCGCUGCCGGAUUAAUCCGAAACGCAAGUUAAAUAAAACAGGGAUAAAUGGUUUAAACA